Molecule: ribosomal RNA, 479 nt
Filed under: Shouchella clausii
Lineage: Bacteria; Bacillati; Bacillota; Bacilli; Caryophanales; Bacillaceae
Description: bacterial LSU rRNA
Rfam family: Bacterial large subunit ribosomal RNA
Source: RNAcentral
CGCGCCGAAAAUGUACCGGGGCUAAACGUAUCACCGAAGCUGUGGAUUGACAUCUUCCGAUGUCAGUGGUAGGAGAGCGUUCUAAGGGCGUUGAAGCGGAUCGCAAGGACUCGUGGAGCGCUUAGAAGUGAGAAUGCCGGUAUGAGUAGCGAAAGAUGGGUGAGAAUCCCAUCCACCGAAUGCCUAAGGUUUCCUGAGGAAGGCUCGUCCGCUCAGGGUUAGUCGGGACCUAAGCCGAGGCUGAAAAGCGUAGGCGAUGGACAACAGGUUGAUAUUCCUGUACCACCUCUUUACCGUUUGAGCAAUGGGGGGACGCAGGAGGAUAGGGUAAGCGCGCUGCUGGAUUAGCGCGUCCAAGCAGUUAGGCCGGUAACGAGGCAAAUCCCGUUACCACACAGGCUGAGCUGUGACGGCGAGGGAAAUUUAGUACCGAAGUUCCUGAUUCCACACUGCCAAGAAAAGCCUCUAGCGAGGGAAAA